UACGGGGGGGGCAAGCGUUGUUCGGAAUUACUGGGCGUAAAGGGCUUGUAGGCGGCCAACUAAGUCAGACGUGAAAUCCCUCGGCUUAACCGGGGAACUGCGUCUGAUACUGGAUGGCUCGAGUGUGGGAGAGGGAUGCGGAAUUCCAGGUGUAGCGGUGAAAUGCGUAGAUAUCUGGAGGAACACCGGUGGCGAAGGCGGCAUCCUGGACCAUAACUGACACUGAUAAGCGAAAGCCAGGGGAGCAAACGGG
This 253-nucleotide ribosomal RNA is filed under the name uncultured bacterium. Its description in RNAcentral is "partial 16S ribosomal RNA". It matches the Rfam family "Bacterial small subunit ribosomal RNA", at positions 524 to 776 of the family's 1533-position model. The record is from RNAcentral.